AUUGAACGCUGGCGGCAUGCCUUACACAUGCAAGUCGAACGGCAGCGGGGGUAGCUUGCUACCUGCCGGCGAGUGGCGAACGGGUGAGUAAUACAUCGGAACGUGCCCUGUAGUGGGGGAUAACUAGUCGAAAGACUAGCUAAUACCGCAUACGACCUGAGGGUGAAAGUGGGGGACCGCAAGGCCUCAUGCUAUAGGAGCGGCCGAUGUCUGAUUAGCUAGUUGGUGGGGUAAAGGCCCAACAAGGCGACGAUCAGUAGCUGGUCUGAGAGGACGAUCAGCCACACUGGGACUGAGACACGGCCCAGACUCCUACGGGAGGCAGCAGUGGGGAAUUUUGGACAAUGGGGGCAACCCUGAUCCAGCAAUGCCGCGUGUGUGAAGAAGGCCUUCGGGUUGUAAAGCACUUUUGUCCGGAAAGAAAUCGCACUGGUUAAUACCUGGUGUGGAUGACGGUACCGGAAGAAUAAGGACCGGCUAACUACGUGCCAGCCGCCGCGUAA
This 503-nucleotide ribosomal RNA is filed under the name uncultured bacterium. RNAcentral's name for it is "partial 16S ribosomal RNA". It matches the Rfam family "Bacterial small subunit ribosomal RNA", at positions 30 to 522 of the family's 1533-position model. The record is from RNAcentral.